CAGCCGCCGCGGUAAUACGUAGGGGGCGAGCGUUGUCCGGAAUUAUUGGGCGUAAAGCGCGCGCAGGCGGUCCUUUAAGUCUGAUGUGAAAGCCCACGGCUCAACCGUGGAGGGUCAUUGGAAACUGGGGGACUUGAGUGCAGGAGAGGAGAGCGGAAUUCCACGUGUAGCGGUGAAAUGCGUAGAGAUGUGGAGGAACACCAGUGGCGAAGGCGGCUCUCUGGCCUGUAACUGACGCUGAGGCGCGAAAGCGUGGGGAGCAAACAGGAUUAGAUACCCUGGUAGUCGACGCCGUAAACGAUGAGUGCUAAGUGUUAGAGGGGUCACACCCUUUAGUGCUGCAGCUAACGCGAUAAGCACUCCGCCUGGGGAGUACGGCCGCAAGGCUGAAACUUAAAGGAAUUGGCGGG
This 410-nucleotide ribosomal RNA is filed under the name uncultured microorganism. Its description in RNAcentral is "bacterial SSU rRNA". It matches the Rfam family "Bacterial small subunit ribosomal RNA", at positions 509 to 917 of the family's 1533-position model. The record is from RNAcentral.